UUUUUUUUUUUUUUUUUUUUUGUCUUUAGUAUUUUUAGGGCUGUACUCCUAGCAUAUGGAGGUUCCCAGGCUAGGGGUCAAAUUGGAGUUGUAAAUGUCAGCCUUCACCACAGCCACAGCAACUCGAGAUCAGAGCCACGUCUGCAACCUACACCACAGCUCAAGGCAACGCCAGAUCCUUAACCCACUGAACGAGGCCAGGAAACGAACCCACGUCCUCAUGGAUGCUAGUCUGGUUUGUUAACCACUGAGCCAGGACAGGAACUCCCCCAUUUCUAAUUUUUAUGCCAUUUCAUGCCUUUGCACCGUCUCAAGGAUGAGAUGGGCUGUCAGCUGCUUCCCAUUUGAAGGUAAUUCAAUAUUCAAAAUGGGUUUAUGGGGUUGUAUAAAACUAUACACUGGGUGAGAGCCAGAUGCCAAAGCAGAUAAAACAUAGUCCCAGUUCUAAGAUUCCAGCCUAGCAAGAGAAACGUACAAAAUUAAGUGCAAAGUGUCACAAGGGAGCAAAAUUACCCGGCCCUCAGCCAAGCCUAGGUCCAACUUGCAUUCAAAUAGGGCCUCACCCAGCUGACUGCUCACUUCUGCUGAAGAUUCUCCAGAGGUGCCUGUCUCACAAGGAGACAAAUACAGGCAGGCCCUGGCACCGUGGGAAUGCCCAGCCUCUCCCAGGGACGGUGCACUGAGGAAAUCACAUAUGUCUCUGACCACCGUUCUCAAACCAGGAUGCAGGGCUCUGGCUCACCAGGGGCAUCCUUGCAGCCACAGUGCUUUGUUGCAGAGAAACACAAUUCAAAAGGACUUGCCAAGCCAGGCUGGCAUUUGAGUAAUUAUAUUAAUGAAUCUCUGAGUUUCAAAAUCUAAUAUUAGACGGUGGCAUGAGGACCAUCAUCCUCAGUUACUGUCCCACGUGGCCAGGAAUGCUCCUGGGCAGCAGCAUGGCUUGAACAGACCCUGUGUGUGUGUGUGAGUGUGAGCGUCUACAUGAAUUCAGGAGCAUAAAAGGCAAUGAAAAGCAGAUUACUGCAAAACUUCCAGCAAUCAUCUGGUUAAUUACGAUAAUUACAUUCAUUUUUAUUUCAAACUGCAGUUCCAAACAGACUCUCAGGAAAGUGGCAUGACAGAGCAAAGAUCAGGAUCCCAAGAUUCAACCGAGCAUGCCCGGCCCAGGCACCUGGGCUUCCUGCACACUCUACCUGCCUUCCCCAUGCUCCAGGUAGUGGUGUCGAGAAACUGAGCGGGCCACAGCAGGGUGGGGGCAUCCAGCUGAUCUCCCCCUACCUAUGCUAGCAUGCUUCCUCUCAGGUCAGAGGCAGCAGGCUGACCAGGCGGGCUGGCCGGUGAGAAGGGAGACCAGUGUCAAAAACAGGCCAGGUUCUCACUCUCUGUUUCUACCCCACGUGCUCAGCUCAGCGGCUGGGGGAGCCCUUGAGCUGAGCCGCAGGCUGGGCUCCAUCCCCCUCUGUCUCAGCUCCCAGAGAGCAAGGGAGAUCAUAGGGACCACACAACUUUUUCUUCUGAGACUCCACCAAGGGCAGCAAUCCCAGGGAAGUUCACGGAGUGGCACGGCCCACGGAGGGAAGCCAAGGUGCUCAGAGAUCUGAAACCUGGGGUCCUUCUGCUGGAAACUCAUUGUGUGACCCAAGUACCUUGUCAUUUCGGGUACCGGGUUCCCUUCUCUGUAUGGUGGGAUAAUAAUACCUGUCCUGCCUAUAUCACUCAACCAUUGUGAGGAGGGAAUCCGCUCCAGGCAAGCUGAAAAGGCUCAGCCAGCUGACAAAAACAAGCUAAUUCCUCACUGUCUUUCAAGGUGCAGUUCAAGCAGGUCAUCUUCCAGGAAGCCUCCCAGGUCCUCAAGUCUGGUUCACCAAUCCCUCACUACACACAGAGACCCCUGUGUGUGUCACCUGGGUACGCACACUCACACCAGGAAGGCAGGCUUAAAACUAGAAUCAGUGCUAGAAUUUGGGUGGUUAACACACAAACAGGACUCAGCACGGUGCCUCGGCUACACUGAGCCUUCAGUGGAAAAAUGGUAUUAAGGCAGGAGAUGGAGCCCAUGGGUAUGCCCCCUUCUCUACCAACACUGAACAGAAAGUUGCUGGGAACCUGAACAAACGAGUGUCCCUUACGUUAUGGAGCGUCCCCCAAAUUAAUAGCAAAUGAUGGCCCUGACCCUGGGGCAGUGGCAUGCCAGGUCAUCAUUAGGACAUCAAAAGGGAGAAGAGUUAGGAGUUCCCACUGUGGCAUAAUAGGAUCGGCAGAGUCUCUGGAGCACUGGGAUGCAGGUUAGAGCCCAGCCCGGCACAGUGGAUUACGGAUAUGGUAUUGCUGCAGCUGCAGCAUAGGUCAAAACUGCAGCUCGGAUCAGAUCCCUGGCCCAGGAACUCCAUAUGCCGAGAGGCAGCCAAAAAAAGAAAAAAAAAAAGAAAGAAAAAAAAGUGAGAUGAGCCAGAACAUCCUCCCUAUCAAUGGACAGGCCACAGUAGCUGGUGGGGGUACAAGUCACUUAGGAGACAGGCCCACGAAGGGCAACCCCAAAAUAUAUUUUUUAAUCUUCAAUGGGCCAGAAAAUCAGACAUCAGAUAGCCAUAGAGACAAAGUAAGGAACCCAGGUACCCAGGGGGGUAAGGCCCAGUCCAGCCAAAGCCCCCUGCCACAGCCCCUCUGCACGCUGGGACCCUUUUCUAACGCCAGCAACUCUUCGGCUCAAACGUGCUUAAAAUGGCGACAGCGGCCUGCAGGGCCAGGCAUUUGUCGUACUGUUUGCCACGGUGCCCUCGGUGCCAAGAAAAACCUAUCAUGAGAAAUGCCAUCAGCUAUAUUUAUCUAUCUCUCAGCCCCCCAGCCUCCUCCUUCCGUCUGCCAACCAGGCCCUGCGGAGCCCCCCUCACCCAGUGGGCACACUUCCCUGUUGCUGACGCCUGUGACCACCUGCCCAAGCCUCGCUUCCCAGCGCUCUCUUCCCAGCCCUGGCAGUCAGGCCUCCACAGGCAAAACACCCUACAGGCAGCACCCCUUCUCACUGGUGUGUUGGGAUAUGCCCACAUAUACUCCAAGUUUGCACACUCACACACCCCCCAGGUACUGGUCACAGUGUGUCUAGUCCCAAACCACAAGCAUCAGUGGCGGCCCAUUUCCUUUCAGUAUCAGCUCCCUGCUCAUCAGGCAGGACCAGCCUGCCCUCCAAGUCCUAUAGGAGCCAUGGGCUGGGUCCUCGGGGCGGGGGGGGGGCACCCACGCUGCAGCGUCUCACAAGCCAGUCGUCAGGAGGAGCCAAGAGGCACAUGGUGAGAAAGCAAAGCUGGAAGGACAGGGGCUCCUCCCGGGCCUGUGUGCCAUUGCUGGCAGGACCCCCAGCUGCAGGGAAGACCUCUCACCCUUCCACUUCCCUGAAGGAGAGUGAGGUGCCCCAGCCUAUAUUUCAAAGUGCUAAGAAUUUCCAAGGAGUAUGCAUGUUAAAAGGACCCCCACCCCCUUCGCAUUCAACCAAGAGGGAAAUGGCAGAAUCUGGGAUGAUAAAGGGAAAACAGCAAAGUCAAGGCUCAGGACUACCCGGAUCCUACAGCUGUGACGAGGCCUCUGCUAGGGACACGGCUAACGGGAAUGUCUUUGGUGUCAGGCACUUCAGGCCUUUCCCUCCCCAAGCAGCAAGGCUCCAACCCGAUCCUUCCUACCCUCAGGCCUAGCACUGAACUUUAAAGGUGGAUCAGGGAGUACAUCCUAACCAACCACCCCCAACCUCCUCCUCUUGCUUCUGGAGGCAGCGCCCACUUCCCGCCCCAGCCUUCUCCCCAGAAGGCUGCCUCUUGCCGCCAAGCCCCCAACUCAGAAAAGAGUUCCAGGGAGCCAACUCCUCUGAGAAUGAAGCAACCCAAAUAAAAAUUUUAAAACCCAGAAGCUCUUUCUCUCCUGCCCCCUCCCCCUCCGCUGGCAAAUGAAAACAAACAAGAAAUCAAAGAGGCCUUUUGUGCGAGCACCGCGCUGACACUGCUGGGGCCUUUGAAAGGACUUCUGAAUCGGACACUGAAGGAUAAAAUAACUGAAGCGUGGCAGCUCCUGAGACAGGGGGGUGGGGUGGGGGUGGGACUGAUGGGGCAAAGAAAAAAAGGGGUGGGGAGGGAGACACCUUCUUCCCAGGGCAGAAAGGAGGGUGUUUAGCUGUGCCCUCUCUGCCCAGCAGCUGCAGGGCACCAAAACAGAGGGAGACCAUGGCACAGCCUUCUACCCCUCCGGCCUACUCUCCCUCAGCACACCAGGUCCCUGCAACUCUAGAAGGUGCCUCCUUCUUCACAGCCCACCUGGAGCUGUCCCUGAUGAAGCCCUGCUGAGUCUUCCUUCACCUCCUGCAUGGAUCACUGUGCAUUCACAUCUACAAGACAGUGCCUUCUAGAAGUUAUCAGGAGGCCUUCACCCAAAUCCUACAGGCCACAUGCAGGAGCCUCUCAUUCUUAGAAGGGCCUUGCUCACAGUAGGUUCACCACGUCCAUACGUAUUUCAUGAAUAAAGGAAAUACAACCAUCCUCUGGCAGUGCCAAAAAGUAAACCGAAUCCUCAGAACGUCCUUCUGUACGUCUGGACCCCAGCCCUCCUGCUACAGAGUGGCCCUGUUUCCUCUGGGUGGGCAGUGGAGCACAGCUGGUCACCAUGCUCAGGCUCCCAGGUCCCCUCUGGCUUAUUCACAGGCCCAAACUCUGCCAGCUCAAGCUUAGACAAAGGUAGCUCUUUUUUUUCCCCUGAGCCUACAGCUUCCAAUUCAGCCAUCAGACUGAGCACUCCACCAAGGUUCCCUGCACACCACAGCCAGCGGGGAUCCCAGACUGUCGGGGCAAACAUGUACGGCAAAGGGGAGCAGAGCAGUUGGUCAAGGCAGUCACAGGACUGGGUCUAGGCAUUUUUAACCUCCUCUUUGGGGUCACGCCCACUCCAAAGCCAGCCUGAGCUGCACCACCCUUUCACACCGUCCAGAACCGGGCACCCCAUAUCACAUUAACAGGGCAAAGGCAGCGGGAGUCAGCUUCUCAGGUGUGUGACCCGGGCAGUCGCACGGAUCCCGUGCUUGGUUUAAUGAUCUAACGAUUGUCCCACUGCAAUCCUAAUCAUUGUGAACUAGGAGCCCCUCAUUUUCAUUUUGCAUUAGGCCUCGCAAAUUA
RNAcentral lists this long non-coding RNA (5150 nucleotides) under Sus scrofa (pig). RNAcentral describes it as "lncRNA (ENSSSCG00065017482.1)". The record is from RNAcentral. Lineage: Eukaryota; Metazoa; Chordata; Mammalia; Artiodactyla; Suidae.